AACGAACGCUGGCGGCAUGCCUAACACAUGCAAGUCGAACGAGACCUUCGGGUCUAGUGGCGCACGGGUGCGUAACGCGUGGGAACCUGCCCUUAGGUUCGGAAUAACUCCCCGAAAGGGGUGCUAAUACCGGAUAAUGUCUUCGGACCAAAGAUUUAUCGCGUUUGGAUGGGCCCGCGUUGGAUUAGCUAGUUGGUAGGGUAAAAGCCUACCAAGGCGACGAUCCAUAGCUGGUCUGAGAGGAUGAUCAGCCACACUGGGACUGAGACACGGCCCAGAAUCCUACGGGAGGCAGCAGUGGGGAAUAUAGGACAAUGGGCGAAAGGCUGAUCCAGCAAUGCCGCGUGAGUGAUGAAGGCAGUAGGGUUGUAAAGCGCUUUUACCCGGGAUGAUAAUGACAGUACCGGGAGAAUAAGCUCCGGCUAACUCCGUG
RNAcentral lists this ribosomal RNA (433 nucleotides) under uncultured bacterium. RNAcentral's name for it is "partial 16S ribosomal RNA". It matches the Rfam family "Bacterial small subunit ribosomal RNA", at positions 29 to 507 of the family's 1533-position model. The record is from RNAcentral.